Molecule: unclassified non-coding RNA, 329 nt
Filed under: soil metagenome
Description: partial contains 5.8S ribosomal RNA, internal transcribed spacer 2, and large subunit ribosomal RNA
Rfam family: 5.8S ribosomal RNA (bases 1-120)
Source: RNAcentral
GAUGAAGAACGUAGUGAAAUGCGAUAAGUAAUGUGAAUUGCAGAAUUCAGUGAAUCAUCGAAUCUUUGAACGCACAUUGCGCCCCUUGGUAUUCCGAGGGGCAUGCCUGUUCGAGCGUCAUUAUAACCCCUCAAGCUCAGCUUGGUGUUGGGGCCUGCUGCACUGGCAGCCCUUAAAAUCAGUGGCGGCGCCAUCUGGCUCUAAGCGUAGUAAUUCUUCUCGCUAUGGAGUCCUGGUGGAUGCUUGCCAUCAACCCCCAAUUUUUCUAUGGUUGACCUCGGAUCAGGUAGGGAUACCCGCUGAACUUAAGCAUAUCAGUAAGCGGAGGA